RNAcentral lists this long non-coding RNA (1754 nucleotides) under Nicotiana tabacum (common tobacco). RNAcentral describes it as "long non-coding RNA (NTAB_LNC004068)". Lineage: Eukaryota; Viridiplantae; Streptophyta; Magnoliopsida; Solanales; Solanaceae. The record is from RNAcentral.
GACACUAUAGUAUUGUCCCUUAGCCCAACUUGCAUAAGAGAUCCAUAUUACAACAAACUUGAUAACUCAUCUAAUACACAUUUAAAAAAAUCCAGAACAGCCUGAAUCACGUCAUAUUUAUACAAUUUUGAAUCCAAAUCUUAAAUAAAAAUGAGCAACACAUAAUGACUGCAUCCCAAAAGCUUUAUCCAAUUUGGAAACCAAUAUAUGAUGCAUUGAAUAUCAGUUUUCUAGUUACAUAUUUAAAAAACAAGAGACAUAAUUCGAAGAUAACACCAAAAGAGCUAACUAUGACCACAGAUGCUAUGGCUAUGAAUCACAGCCCUUGAUUUCCAUUUUUAAUUCCCAAGUCCAACUUCUACAUUAAGUAAAGUAUAGAAACAUGUACCUGAAGAUGGAAAGAAAUAGAAGGUGAAGGAUCAGUAGUAAUUUAGUAUAAGGCAGUAGUAGAAAUAACUAGUGAAACCAGUUUCCAACCCAGAAAUACUGUGCAGUACUCCAGAGAAAAUAAUUUCAAUUGAACAAGAGUCUAGCAGACUUCGAACCAAACUUUUAAACCAAACUCAAGCCAUUUCUAACCCCAGGUGAAUCGGAAUUUGUUUCAAAAAAAAAUCGAAGACUUUAACAUUCACAGAUGAAAUGCAAAGGAACAGUGAUUAUAUUGGAAUUUAUAGCUGUUUUUGUUUUCUGAAUUUUCAACUCCUCAAAUCACUCUUGGGUCUACCUUGAAAGGCAAGAAAUGGUGCAUUUAUUGGCAAGUUACUAUGGCAGCCUUGCAGAUUUAUUUUUUACCUUUUUAUUCCCUUUUUAAAUCUUCUUUUAGCUUAAAAGUCCCUCACUUAUUGGCUUGUUACUCAAGUUAUAUUGUUAAAAGUCUGAAAUUCACAGAGAAACCCUCACUAAAACCUUCCAAAUCAGUUACACUAAAGAUUCCUUAUGUCAAUUCCCUAGACUACCCCCACCUAGACUUCCCAAGUUGCCCCUGAACCCCUGUUAAUAUACUAGACAGACCGAAUGGGCCCAUGGAUCAAUUUGCCCAAAAUGUUCAGCCCCAAAUGAGCCGGAAUACACCCAAAACCCAACCAUGAAGAUCAAAAAUCUAUUUGGCCCAACCAGCAAUUAUCUAAUUAACAGGUUGUAAACACCAAAUAACACAGGACAAUUAAAAAUUUAGCCUAAAUGAUUUACUAACUAAACUUAACCAAACUAACAGUUUUAAAACUAAUCUGAUUACAGCCUAACUAUACUAACUAAAAACAAGACUCCAAUUGCUCAUGCAUGAAUAAAUAAACUCCGGAACAAAUGAAGGAUGAUUCAAGAAUAGGAGAAGGGACAGAAAACUGAAAAACAAACGAAGAACAGAUUAAACCAAGAGAAGAAAAGAAGAAUACCUAAGAAAGGUUCAGAAAAUGAAAGAUGGGCCUGGGUCUUCAGAUCCUCGAUUUUUUGGACAAAUCUGAUGUUAAUCGUGCGUUCUUACGAAGAACACACGAAUAAAAUCGGAUUCAACACGAAAUUUCACCAAAACUUGACUUGGGAUUUUUGGGUUUCAUUUCUGAUCUAAGAUUCGAGGAACUAGGGCAAUAUUCGAGGGUAAUGGAGUAUGGAUUUUGAAAGAGGGGACGAUGGGGGUUGUCUGGUUGAAAUUUGGAUGGAUUUGGAAGUGCUCCGCCACCGUGAGGCGAUUUCCAUACGGCGGAGCCACGAUGGAAAGGGGCGGUGAUUGCAGAGAGGGGAUUAGGCUUUGGGCUCAG